Molecule: long non-coding RNA, 400 nt
Filed under: Theobroma cacao (cacao)
Lineage: Eukaryota; Viridiplantae; Streptophyta; Magnoliopsida; Malvales; Malvaceae
Description: long non-coding RNA (TCAC_LNC004018)
Source: RNAcentral
AUACAUUAUCAUGGAAUAAAAUUUAAACAUUAAAACAAAACCAAGAAAAUAAGAGAAUAAAAGAAAAUAUAGAAAAACUCAAGAAUUGUAUUCUUCAUCUUCAAAUCUCCUUGAAUUCUGCAAAUUCUUCUUAACUUCAAUGACUCUAUCGCUUGACUCUCAACUGUUAAUCAGGUGUUUUUCUUCUCUCCUUAAGUCUUCCGAAAGGUUGUUUUUAUAGGCUUUGGAGUUAGGCCAAGUUGGGUGAAGAAAGAAGUUAAUUUCAGUUGGGAUUUCCUCAUCAAACUAUGUAAAUCGCAGUUUUGCCAAAUUAAUUAACAGAAAUCGCAAUUGCUCUAGAACUACUACAGUAUGUUAAAUUCAACAAGAUUUUUGACCAUUCUAUACACCGAAAUGGGUA